AUACGGAGGGUGCGAGCGUUAAUCGGAAUUACUGGGCGUAAAGCGUACGUAGGCGGUUGGUUAAGUUAGAUGUGAAAGCCCCGGGCUUAACCUGGGAACUGCAUUUAAAACUGGCGAACUAGAGUUGAGUAGAGGGGAGUGGAAUUUCAGGUGUAGCGGUGAAAUGCGUAGAGAUCUGAAGGAACACCAGUGGCGAAGGCGACUCCCCGGACUCGAACUGACGCUGAGGUACGAAAGCGUGGGUAGCAAACGGGAUUAGAUACCCUAGUAGUCC
This 274-nucleotide ribosomal RNA is filed under the name uncultured bacterium. RNAcentral describes it as "partial 16S ribosomal RNA". It matches the Rfam family "Bacterial small subunit ribosomal RNA", at positions 523 to 796 of the family's 1533-position model. The record is from RNAcentral.